GCUGCCGAAGGUGGAGUAGGUGACUGGGGUGAAGUCGUAACAAGGUAGCCGUAUCGGAAGGUGCGGCUGGAUCACCUCCUUU
RNAcentral lists this ribosomal RNA (82 nucleotides) under Anaerocolumna cellulosilytica. RNAcentral describes it as "partial 16S ribosomal RNA". It matches the Rfam family "Bacterial small subunit ribosomal RNA", at positions 1452 to 1533 of the family's 1533-position model. Lineage: Bacteria; Bacillati; Bacillota; Clostridia; Lachnospirales; Lachnospiraceae. The record is from RNAcentral.